GUGUACACAAGAUAGAGCCCAUAUCAAGUUUUUUUUAACUUUACAAUUAAAUCCACCUUCAAAAGUAUUCUUCAAAAUCUUUAUCCGUUUUAUUCUAAUAAAUGUAACCCACCUCUAUCUUUUACAUAAGCUGCACCUUUACUUGAAGUAAAUGAUUGUAACAUUAUAGAAAGUUUUCUAAUAAAACUGACUGACAACAGCGGUAUACAAACUGAUAACAAAUAAAAGUAAGGUAAAUCGUGGCUCAUCGUUUAUAGGGCAGGUUCCUCUAAAUGGCUAUCUUGCCGCCAAAUCCGUUAAAUUUCAUUAUUACUACUAUUUCAAAAUUUAUUUUUUAUUAGUA
This 343-nucleotide ribosomal RNA is filed under the name Hoekiini sp. 1 MM-2014. Its description in RNAcentral is "partial 12S ribosomal RNA". The record is from RNAcentral. Lineage: Eukaryota; Metazoa; Arthropoda; Thecostraca; Balanomorpha; Pyrgomatidae.